AAAGGCGUAAGCGAUGGACAAUCGGUUGAUAUUCCGAUACCACUAUUAUCGUUAUUAUCGAUGGUGUGACGGAGAAGGAUAGGAUGUGCUAGCUAUUGGAUGCUAGUCUAAGCGUUUAGGGAGUUAGAAUAGGCAAAUCCGUUCUAACAAUUCUGAGGCGUGAUGGGGAAGGUUCUAAGGAACCGAAGUAUCUGAUUCCAUGCUUCCAAGAAAAGCAUCUAGAAAGAGAAAUAGUGCCCGUACCGCAAACCGACACAGGUAGGUGAGGAGAGAAUCCUAAGGCCGGCGGAAGAAUUGCAGUUAAGGAACUAGGCAAAUUGACCCCGUAACUUCGGGAGAAGGGGUGCCUGCGAGAGCAGGCCGCAGAGAAUAGGCACAAGCAACUGUUUAACAAAAACACAGGUCUCUGCUAAAGCGAAAGCUGAUGUAUAGGGGCUGACGCCUGCCCGGUGCUGGAAGGUUAAGGGGAACACUUAGCGUAAGCGAAGGUGUGAACUUAAGCCCCAGUAAACGGCGGCCGUAACUAUAACGGUCCUAAGGUAGCGAAAUUCCUUGUCAGGUAAGUUCUGACCCGCACGAAUGGCGUAAUGACUUGUGCACUGUCUCAACUGCAAAUCCGGCGAAGUUGUAGUGCGAGUGAAGAUGCUCGCUACCCGCGAUUGGACGGAAAGACCCCGUAGAGCUUUACUGUAGCUUAGCAUUGAAUUUCGGUAUUGUCUGUACAGGAUAGGUGGGAGACUGGGAAAUCAGAGCGUCAGCUUUGAUGGAGUCAUCCUUGGGAUACCACCCUGAUAGUACUGGAAUUCUAACUGGAUGCCAUGAAUCUGGUGACAGGACAUUGUUAGGUGGGCAGUUUGACUGGGGCGGUCGCCUCCUAAAAAGUAACGGAGGCGCCCAAAGGUUCCCUCAGAACGGUCGGAAAUCGUUCGUAGAGUGCAAAGGCAUAAGGGAGCCUGACUGCGAGACCUACAAGUCGAGCAGGGACGAAAGUCGGGCUUAGUGAUCCGGUGGUACCUCGUGGGAGGGCCAUCGCUCAACGGAUAAAAGCUACCUCGGGGAUAACAGGCUGAUCUCCCCCAAGAGUUCACAUCGACGGGGAGGUUUGGCACCUCGAUGUCGGCUCGUCGCAUCCUGGGGCUGAAGUAGGUCCCAAGGGUUGGGCUGUUCGCCCAUUAAAGCGGCACGCGAGCUGGGUUCAGAACGUCGUGAGACAGUUCGGUCCCUAUCCGUCGCGGGCGCAGGAAAUUUGAGAAGAGCUGUCCUUAGUACGAGAGGACCGGGAUGGACCGACCUAUGGUGUACCAGUUGUUUCGCCAGAAGCAUAGCUGGGUAGCUAAGUCGGGACGGGAUAAACGCUGAAAGCAUCUAAGCGUGAAGCCUCCUUCAAGAUGAGAUUUCCCAUAGCGUAAGCUAGUAAGACCCCUUGAAGACUACAAGGUUGAUAGGUCAGAGGUGUAAGUGUGGCAACAUAUUUAGCUGACUGAUACUAAUAGGUCGAGGGCUUGACCAAUAA
RNAcentral lists this ribosomal RNA (1513 nucleotides) under Clostridium botulinum. Its description in RNAcentral is "partial 23S ribosomal RNA". It matches the Rfam family "Bacterial large subunit ribosomal RNA", at positions 1405 to 2925 of the family's 2925-position model. The record is from RNAcentral. Lineage: Bacteria; Bacillati; Bacillota; Clostridia; Eubacteriales; Clostridiaceae.